AGGGGUCGGGCCCGAGCGGGAACCCAGGCCGCGGGCUUCCCAGGGCGGCUCCGAAACGGGCAGUCGAGGCAGGCGAGGGCUCGGCUGCUCCUGCGGGCGUCUGUGCAGAUCCUGAGGCUGUUGACCAAAACAGCGCAAGGAAGGAAUGCACCAGAAGCGCAGAUUCGCGGGGGAGGCCCUGCCGCUGGGAGGGGAAGGGGAGGCGCAGCGGGGCUCCAGCGGGGCCUGGAGGGGGCUGUAGCGUGGCCCUAGCUGUGCGUCUGUGGAGCUGGUAGAGUUCUGCAGCCCAGGAGUGAGGCUGCUGGAGGUGCACAUCAGUUUGAAAUGUGGUGGAAACCAUGGUGAUGGAUGGGAUUUAUUCAGUCCACAUCCAUUCAGAGGCCAGCAGGGUGCUGCUGGGGGUGACUGGUGCUGGGCCGGGCGUGAUUUUGGCGUUGAGGGAGCUGAUGCCCCAGCAGGGGAGACAGGCACCAGAUGCACAACUGUUUAACCACAGUUGGGACAAGGGCUAAGGCACGGGUUCCAGGAACCUGUAGGAUGCGGGUGUGGGAGUGGUGUCAAAUGCUGAGGGUGUGAGUUGAACUCGAGAAUUUCUCUGGAAAUUAGCCAGAGGAAAAGUGAGGUGCCAGGGGCAGCCAGCCUUAUGCAGCCCCAGGCAGAAGAAACAGAAUGCACGGACCCUUAGUGGUGGGCGAUGGUGACAUAUAGGAGCAGAAAGAUUGUCCUGGCUAAGGCCCAGAGAGCCACCGGCGAAGGGACACGGUAACGUGUAGAGGGGAGUGGAGGGUGAGGACAAACUUCAGGAUGGGAGAAGAGCCACAAAGGAGACGGAGAAGGGCGAGUAGGAGAAACCAGGAGACUAGAAUGUGUGGAAACCAAGAGGAUGGAGUUUAAAGGAGGAAGGAGCCAUCAGCAGUGCUGACCAAAGAGCAGCUGAAAAGGUCCCACUGACUGCAGCAGCCGGGCUUUUGUGACCCUUAGGGGUCACUGCGGAGGCCGGGCUGGAGCGAGGUAGCAUGAGUUAGGAUGCACGCCUGGGCAGGUGGAGAUAGCUCGCUCCAGCUUUUAGGAUGAAAGGGGCAGAGUGGACAGGAACUUAGCUUGGGGAAAACGACCAUGUUCAGGAUGCGGGAGAGGAGCGUUCCCCUGCUGCCGAGAUUGGAGAUCCAAGAGCAGGGAUGAAUUUAACUCCCCCGCCCUCUAGCGUGCUGUAUACCAAAACAGAGUCAAAGUGAUCCAUAAGCUUAUGUAGUUUAUUUGAUCAACAUGAUUGGCCUGCCAGCCCCUUGUAAGUCGACCCUAAGGACAUUUUAAGAGUAAUUUCUUUCCCUUUUACAUAUGGGUAUCCUUGGUGCCAGAUUAUAUGAGUCGUUUUUCACAAGGUCACAAUUAAAGUGUUUGAGACUUUUUCAUAGUUUAGAGAUUUUAUUUGCUGUUUCCACUGGAUUGUCCAGAUUUUUAUUUCAAGAAUUGUGUACAUUUUAACAGAAUAAAAUAGUGAAACCUAGAAAAUGCCCCCCCCCCCCCCGCCCUAUGUACACACUUUAAAAGUUGGCCUUAAUAAUUUAACUUGCAUGACAUGGUAAGCCUCAGCAAAGGUUGUGCACUUGAAGGGCUGUCCUAGUUCCAGUGUGUCGACCUUGAUUAGAUUGACCUGAGUUCAGUCCUGUCUGGGUGCACUCAAAGCUUCCUGCCAGCAUCUGGGCCUUUGUUAGUUUGACCUGGGUUCAGUCCUGUCUAGAGAGACUCAGGGCUUCCUGCUCUCCCCUGUAGUUUUUUAGUUGACGAGCCUUUUUGUUUCCUAAGAAGCUUUAUGCCAGUUCCCUUUUUCACAAGAGGCAACUUGGGUCUCUUAGUCACUUUUGGACAUGAAGCACGUAGUCUUUAGACUUGGCUAUCGAUCUUUGCUUUAAUCACUGUUAUUUUAUGGAGGAACCUGUAAGGGGUGACAUCAAAUGAUUGCAGCUUUGUUGACUGGCCAGAGGCCUGUUGAUGGGCUAAGCCUAGACCCCAGAGCUUCUCUUGCUCAUUCAGAACCAGUGCCUUGGCACCACCGUGUGGUUCAGGGUUUGCUGGAGUAUCUUGUGACAUCAGGCAGUUUGAGUAGAUUGCAGGGGAAUCUUCGUGUUUCUCGAUACCAACUUCUGUCCACUCUGUAGCUAAUAGUAGUGAUUCAAAACCACUUUGAAUGGCCUGGAUCCAUGUGCUCCUGCAUCUGUUCUUCUAGAGUUCUAAGAAAUUAGGCUGCUAGUGUAACGGUGUUGUCACAUAUUAGGGGAGGCUUCAAGGGGUGACCGGCAGGACCUCAAGAUCAGACACCAUCAUGUCUUCCAAAUUUCCACAUUCCAGAUUUCCUGAUGUGGAGUCAUCAGUUGUAUAAUGCUGGUUAAAUAGUUCAGUCACCGAAGAGUAUAUUGUUUGGCUGAUUAGUCUUGGAGGGUCUAAGGGUACGAUGUUGAAUUUUUUUAGGUGAAAUUCACAUAACAUAAAAUUAACUAUUUUAAAAUGUACAAUUCAGUGGUGUUUAGUACGUCCACGAAUUUGUGGAACCACCACCUCUAUCUAGUCCUAAAACAUUUUUGUCAUCCUGAACAAUAACUGUGUACCCAUUAGCGGUCACUCCCAACUCCUCCCUUGCCCCAGCCCCUGGCUACCACUCACCUUUCUCUCUGUAGACAUUUGCCCGUUCUGGAUAUUUCGUAUAAGUGGAAUCGUACCCCGUGUGGCUUCUUGUGCCUGGCUUUUACUCAGUGUCGUACUUUUGAGGUUCUUCCAUGUGGCAUGUAUCAAUACUUCAUUCCUUUUUAUGGCCGAAUUAUGUUCCGUUAUAUGGAUAUACUAAAUUUUGUUGUAUAACCAUGGCAGAAUUUUUAAAUCUAGCAAUGAUGGCCACUUCCAUAAUAAGGAUGUCAUGGCUGUUCCUAGUGGUGGACCAUUUUGGGGGUUGUACUUCUGCCUUUAUCUUAAGGUUUUUGGGGUAAUUCUUGGCUUUGCUCACCCUCCCUUGGGAAGGCUGUCAACUUCAUAAAAAGACUCUAGCUGUAUCUUUUGUCAGCUUACUGUCAGAGAGUAUGGGAUCUGCCUUAAUUUAGUUAAAUUUGAUCUUACCAGAUAAUACAACCUUGAAUUUUUCGUUUAGUUCUAUUCAAAAGCUCAGUUUCAGAAAAUAAUGUAGUGAAUAUGUAUUCCAUUUAUUCCUCUAGAAUCUAGAUCGGGUUCAGCAAACUACAGCCCACAGGCUAGCUGUCUGUUUUUGUAAAUUGAGUUUUAUUGGAACACAGCCUACGGCUGUCUGCUUUUGCAACAGACCCACAGGCCUGAGAUGGCAGAGCCGACUGCUGACUGGAACAUUAAGAGAGAAAGUUGGCUGAGUGAGGCUUCUGAUCUUCAUCAGUUCUUCAUCUGAGUUCUGCCUUCCCCUACCUUAUGAGGACUUAGCAGAUGGGCUUAAGCCAUCUGUGAAACCCCUGAAAUUUUAUGCAAAGCUGCCUGCACAUGUGAGGUCCAUAUAUGUGUUCCUGGAGGGCAGACCUGUGACUCCUCAGAUUCCAAAAGGGAUUCAAGACUCCCAAAUGCUCAACACUCAUUGUUCUGAGUAGCCGAAAUGUUAAUUCUGUAGCCUCACCUGAGUUAGCAGUUCUCUCAGGGUUUAGUCUCAGGAGUUGUGUGGUUUUCGGGUUUGUUUUUUCUUUUAGGUUCGGGGUGCGUGCGCAGGUUUGUUACAGAGGUCAGCUGUGUGUCAUGGGAGUUGGCGUACAGAUGAUCUCGUCAGCCUGGUAAUGAGCACGGUACCUGGUGGGCAGUUCUGGGAUCGUCUCCCUCCUGCCACUCUCAAGCAGGCCCCGGUGUCUGUUGUUCCUUCUUUGUGUCCACACGUGCUCUGUGUUCAACUCCCACUUACAAGUGAGAACAUGUGGCAUUUGGUUAUCUGUUCCUGCGCCAGUUCACUUAGGAAAAUGGCCUCUAGCUCCAUCCAUGUUGCUGCAAAGGACAUAAUCUUGGUCCUUUUUAUGGCUAUGUAGUAUGCCGUGGUAUAUAUGUACCACAUUUCCUAUAUAUUUUUAAGAAUGAUUAGAACCCCAUUCUUAAAUGAGAGCUCUUGUUUGUGUGGGUAAUAGUCAUCAAUAUUUACCAUAUUAGAAAUUAAAAUAGGAAGUAUUAAAAUAUUUCUAUAUCUAAUUAGCAAUAAUAAACCUAUUACAUUUUUGCAAAUAUUUUAAUGUCUAGCUUGAUAAAAGAUAGGCUCUCGAAUCUCACAUUCAUUCCUGUGAUAUCACAAGCCUUGCGGCCCGUGGAGGCCUCUGCUAUGCACUCUGUGAGAAUGAGAGUGAGCAAGGCCGGUGGCGGCUUAGGACGCUCAGGAAGGUGGUUCUGUGGACCUCCUGAAAGGCCUUAGGACCCAGCGCGGUCGCAGAUGCAUGUGGGAGAGUAUGUAUCUGGACAGUGUUAUCUUAAUGCUCCUGCGGAAUCGUCCUCUGGUAUUUUGGCAUCAGCAUGCUUUUUGAUUUCCUGUCUCAAAAAAAAAAAAAAAAAACCUUCUGGAAACUGGCUCUGCUGUACAUGGUUGGCAUUUUGGUGAGGAAUUGGUAUGUGUGAGGGGACAUGGAACUUUGCCAGGAGCCCAGGAGACGUUUCCCUCAGGUUUUAGGCCAGAAGGGUCUAUACCACUUCUGAGCUGCUGGUAAGGUUUUAGAUCUUAUGAAAAUGAAUUUUCCUAACUAAUUAUGUUUUCUUUACUGUGGCACUGGGGAAGCUUGGAGCCUGAUUUCCAGCUCUUAACAUGUGACAGGCACAUCCUUGCACUAACGGCACCCCUUUCUCAACCAUACCUUGUUAUCCUUCUGUACACUUUCGUUAUGUUGUAAUUCAUUCCAUGUGUUUUUAUAAGUUGUCUCAUCUUUAUUUGAACAAGAUUGAGUAUAAAUCCUUUUGAGUAAAAAAUUUCCCCCUUAUAUUAUUGUGUAAAGCAUUUUUGUAAAACAUUAGCAUCCAGUGGAUUCUAGGGUCUGUUUGGAUUUAGAGAAGUUAGUGAAUCACUUUUUUUUCCAGUGUUGCUUUCAUCAGGUUUCUUUAUUGAUUGGUUGAUUGAGAUGGAGUCUUGCUCUGUCGCCCAGGCUGGAGUGCAGUGGCGUGAUCUCAGCUCACUGCAGUCUCCACCUCCCAGGUUCAAGUGAUUCUCCUGCCUCAGCCUCCCAAGUAGCUGGGACUAUAGGCGCCCGCCACAACGCCCAGCUAAUUUUUGUAUUUUUAGUAGCGAUGGGGUUUCUUCAUGUUGGCCACGAUGGUCUUGAACUCCUGACCUCAAGUGGUCCGCCUCAGCCUCCCAAAGUGCUGGGAUUCCAUCAUCCAGUUACUUUAGAUAAGUGGAAUCUCAGCCCUCCUAUAUCUGGAAGUGUCAAGAUGUUACUUUGUUUCAUUAUGUACUAUAUAUAGUGCAGCUGCUUGGCAGCGUUGUUAUUUAUUGCCUGCCCAGAUCCUCUGUCCUAUUUUUCAUUUUAUUUCUGUCUGGUAUACAGAGGCAUUCUUGUUAUUAGUAUUAUUGUUUCCAUUUAAUCAUAACAGGCUUUUUUUGUGCCUGCUUGUGAAACUUUCAUAAAUUACUUUUAACACGAUGCUUAGUUAUUUGUGUACAUUUUCAUCAAUGUGAUUCUGCUGAUUUAAACUGGGAAAAAAUGUCUGCAAACUGCACAGCCUCUUUCCGUUCAUUAAAGCCUGAAGUUUAUUGAAACCAAAGAAGACCCUGUGGCUGGGGCCCCGGUGACGCCGUGAGGUCCUUGCCCGGUGUCCUCAGAGGCUAGGUGUGCGUUACAGAGUUCCUGAGAGCUUUAGAAAAAUGAGUCACGCUUCAUGCAGGGUGAACUGGGUGGCGAUCAGAAUGUGUUUUGUAUAAGAUGUUAAUUCUCAUAGUUUCUGAAGCUCGGACUGCCUGUUUGUUACAGUGUAGGUACUGUUGUUUCGGAAGACCGUGCAGUCUUUUUAACUGAUGACGAGCAAGGCUUUGUCUCUAAUUCUGCCCAGUUAAAGUGCAGGCGUUAGGCUAGAGCUGGGACGAACCCCGAGCGGCUUCAUUGGCUUUCCUACUUCUUUUGCAUCCCAAAGCAUAAGCUUAAAUCGUCUCAGAAGGACAAGGUCCGCCAGUUUAUGGCAUGCACUCAGGCUGGCGAGAGAACUGCUAUCUACUGCUUAACGCAGAAUGAGUGGAGACUAGACGAGGCCACGGACAGCUUCUUCCAAAACCCAGACUCGUUCCACAGGGAGUCCAUGCGGAACACUGUGGACAAGAAGAAGCUGGAGCAGCUGUACGGCAGGUACAAAGAUCCACAAGAUGAAAACAAAAUUGGAAUCGAUGGGAUUCAACAGUUUUGUGAUGAUCUGAGCCUAGAUCCUGCCAGUAUCAGUGUGUUGGUCAUAGCGUGGAAGUUCAGGGCAGCAACUCAGUGUGAAUUUAGCAGAAAGGAAUUUCUAGAUGGCAUGACAGAACUCGGGUGUGACAGCAUGGAGAAGCUAAAGGCUCUUCUGCCAAGACUGGAGCAGGAGCUGAAGGACACAGCCAAAUUUAAAGAUUUUUAUCAGUUUACCUUCACUUUCGCUAAGAACCCAGGGCAGAAAGGUUUAGACUUAGAAAUGGCUGUUGCGUAUUGGAAGUUAGUGUUGUCUGGAAGGUUUAAGUUUCUAGAUCUCUGGAACACGUUCUUGCUGGAGCAUCACAAAAGAUCAAUUCCAAGGGACACCUGGAACCUCCUUCUGGACUUUGGAAACAUGAUUGCAGAUGAUAUGUCUAACUACGAUGAAGAAGGUACCGGAAGUUGUGCUUCAGAUGAUUGACCGAAAUGCUUACACCUGAGAACGUUAACUUUUCCUGCCUCUAGAGUGGUGACCCCGUCACUGAGAUGGGGGUGGUGAUAAUACUACCUACCCCCUUCCUUAUUUUCUGUAAAUCAUACAAAAGAAAAAUGCGGCUUUAUAUUUAGUGUAAAUCAAGAAGACAGUCCUCUAAGCCAAAGCAUUUCAAAAUUGGAUGUGCAGAGACCCCCAUGGUGGAGCCACGGAGUUAGGUGUUCGGAAACCACCACUCCCAGAUUCUCAGUCACGCAUGAUGCCUUAGGAGCUUGGCCUGUUCUUAUAGAUGAUUUUGUAGAGUAUGCACGGCCAGUAGUCACAGGUGGAAAACGCAGCCUUUUCUAGGCAGCAAGUUAAGCAGGAGUAAGAUUGUGAAAUGAUUUGUGUCCUGCAAGGAGAUUCUGGUCAGUUCCUGGGUGCAUUGUCACUGAGUCCAGAAGUCAUCGUUGACCCGCCAUGGAACCAGAGGAGCCAUCCCAUUCUGCCGGAGGACAGCAGCGGCUGCUUUGUGGACACCGCAGGAAGUUCCCCAGGACAUGGCUGCUUUGGGAUGUUUGGAGAUUUGUCAUCAUAGCUGUUGCGUUAGGAGAUUUCUGCAUGACUUUUUAGUAUUUACAAAACACUAAGGUAGAGCCGUGGCGCCGCCUGUGGGACCGCAGAGCAUGCUGCGUAGCUCGCGCCAUCAGGCGAACCAGCGGCCAGCCGAACGCCGCCGAAUGAUGUUGCAGUGGCACUGGAAGCACGGCACGUGUCCUCUGCAGGGUGCUGCGUUUUUAUAUAAGUCAAAGCUGUUAAGAAUGUGCCCUAAAGGAGAUGAUCUUGUCAUAGAGUCUAAUGUUUUUUAAAAUUGGUGCCAGGAAUUCAAGAUUUAUAUUUUUUGAAUUAUCGAAUAUCUAGAUUUACCAGCUCUAUUUUUGUUUCCAUUUUCUCUAGACAUACAUCUGAAAAUCAUUUUAUGGUUCUCAGUCCCCAUGUAGCUUUGCACAGCAACGGCACACAUGGCACAAUUCCAGCAGAGUUUAUCUCAUACCGUUUAUAUAUCAGUGGACCCCUCUUACUUAAAUGUUACUUGACCUGAGAAACUUCAUAAAGUGUGUUUUUAAAAAAUAUGUUUUAGUUAUAUUUUAAAAGACAUUUUUCCAUGAAAAACAUUUCUUUCAUGAGUGAUGAAUUGUGGAUUUUAAAAUCGAGGCCAGGCACGGUGGCUCACGCCUGUAAUCCCAGCACUUUGGGAGGCCGAGGCAGGUGGAUCGCCUGACGUCAGGAGUUCGAGACCAGCCUGGCCAACAUGGUGAAACCUCGUCUCUACUAAAAAUACAAAAAUUAGCCAGGCGUAGUGGCACAUGCCUAUAAUCUGAGCUACUCGGGAGGCUGAGGCAGGAGAAUCGCUUGAACCCAGGAGACGGAGGUUACGGUGAGUCGAGAUUGCACCACUGCACUCCAUCCUGGAUGACAGAGUGAGAUUCUGUCUCAAUAAAUUAAAAAAUAAAUCAAUACAAUAAAAUCAAAUGAGUUGGUUUUUUCCACCCUCCUGUGGUGCCCAUGGUGCCAGCAUCUGAACCUUUGUGCCCCUGUGCACAUUCGGAAGCUAAAAUGUACAUCGUUGUCCGAAAAAACCCAACCCCAAAACCUUCAUCUGAUUGGUGAGCUGAAGUCCGUCUUUGUGCCAUGUUUUCAUCUGUUUUUCGUGGCCGCCUGGUUGAGGGGUACCCACGAGUGCUGCCCAGGUGUGGAGGGCGUGUGUCGAGUUGUGGACAUCACUGCUGACCCUACCUCACAUGUGCCGAGACCCUCAUGUCACAAGCGUGCCUUGCUGCCCCCCUGCAGCACCGUGCAGGACGUGGACCAGCUGGAGAUGUUUCCCAGGGGAGAGGAGAGUCGCCGCAGAUGACCCAGCUGCGGUGUGAGAGAACAGAGCCCAGACGCGCAGCUGGGUUGGCUUCUGAGAACAGGACUCGCCCUGUGCUUCAGGAACAUCUGAUGGCUGAGGUUCGUGAGCUUGGCGGCUGCAGGACCAACCUUCGAUGCUUCUCAGCAGAGAUGGUCACAGGGGGCAGCAGGGACAGGACUGGAAGGGACCUGCAGCCUGGAGACCCCGCCUGGCCCCCGCUGGCUUCUGGUGGUCCAGUGAUGGGCAAGUCACAGACCUUCCCCAGGCUCUGCUUCCAGAACCCUUAACGGGAAACUGGGCCUGUCUACCUUUAGAAGUCUUCGAUUCUCAGAGAGCAUUUGUUUAAUACAAUAAAAACUAGCUUUAAUAAAAACCUCAAAUGUGUGAGCGCAUCUUGGAGGCUUCAUGGAUUCUUGACAUGUAAUUGUUCUGUUCAGAAAAGUUUAUAGAAUUCAGAUAAUUCUGUAUAAAUUAUGGAGAUCCGCAGUACUUUUUUGUUUCUGAGAUUUAAAGUUCUAAGAGAUUGUCAAUAGAUAUCAAAAUAUCACUGGACAAAGGCUUUUCCGGAAAUUGUUUUUUUCUUCUGUUGUAUACGUUUGAGUCCUGCAUGCUGUGAAAUGCUGAGAACCGAAGCAUUAAAUUGUUUUAUCUCGGG
Macaca mulatta (Rhesus monkey) is the source of this 9386-nucleotide RNA transcript. It is a transcript of the gene named defective in cullin neddylation 1 domain containing 2, with no coding region annotated. Lineage: Eukaryota; Metazoa; Chordata; Mammalia; Primates; Cercopithecidae. The record is from RefSeq and is a predicted model, not a curated record.